RNAcentral lists this ribosomal RNA (631 nucleotides) under uncultured bacterium. Its description in RNAcentral is "bacterial SSU rRNA". It matches the Rfam family "Bacterial small subunit ribosomal RNA", at positions 56 to 731 of the family's 1533-position model. The record is from RNAcentral.
UGCAAGUCGAACGAUUGCCUUCGGGUGAUAGUGGCGCACGGGUGCGUAACGCGUGGGAAUCUGCCCUUAGGUUCGGAAUAACAGCUGGAAACGGCUGCUAAUACCGGAUGAUAUCGCGAGAUCAAAGAUUUAUCGCCUGAGGAUGAGCCCGCGUUGGAUUAGGUAGUUGGUGGGGUAAAGGCCUACCAAGCCGACGAUCCAUAGCUGGUCUGAGAGGAUGAUCAGCCACACUGGGACUGAGACACGGCCCAGACUCCUACGGGAGGCAGCAGUGGGGAAUAUUGGACAAUGGGCGCAAGCCUGAUCCAGCAAUGCCGCGUGAGUGAUGAAGGCCCUAGGGUUGUAAAGCUCUUUUACCCGGGAAGAUAAUGACUGUACCGGGAGAAUAAGCCCCGGCUAACUCCGUGCCAGCAGCCGCGGUAAUACGGAGGGGGCUAGCGUUGUUCGGAAUUACUGGGCGUAAAGCGCACGUAGGCGGCUUUGUAAGUCAGAGGUGAAAGCCUGGAGCUCAACUCCAGAACUGCCUUUGAGACUGCAUCGCUUGAAUCCAGGAGAGGUCAGUGGAAUUCCGAGUGUAGAGGUGAAAUUCGUAGAUAUUCGGAAGAACACCAGUGGCGAAGGCGGCUGACUG